Molecule: ribosomal RNA, 253 nt
Filed under: uncultured bacterium
Lineage: Bacteria
Description: partial 16S ribosomal RNA
Rfam family: Bacterial small subunit ribosomal RNA
Source: RNAcentral
UACGUAGGUGGCAAGCGUUGUCCGGAUUUACUGGGCGUAAAGAGCGCGCAGGCGGUCGUUCAAGUCGCGUGUGAAAGCCCCCGGCUCAACUGGGGAGGGUCACGCGAUACUGAUCGACUCGAAGGCAGGAGAGGGAAGUGGAAUUCCCGGUGUAGUGGUGAAAUGCGUAGAUAUCGGGAGGAACACCAGAGGCGAAGGCGGUUGCCUGGAGCUUUGCUGACGCUGAGGCGCGAAAGCGUGGGGAGCGAUCCGG